CAAUUUGGCAACACCCCGAGCAAAAGUUACAUCAAAAUUGACAACAGUUCAGCUAAGUCGGAACUUUCCCGAACUUUAUUGUUGCACUUGUUUUCAAUUUCACACAUUUCGAUGCUUCUUCCAACUCAGAAGAUGCGUAAAAUAUAAUGUUAUCUUAAGAAAAUAAAAUAUGUUGCAAGUAUUGAGGAAUCGAUGUAUGCAAUUGGUGAGUACGUGCAAGAAUCGAGUUUCCACUGCAGUUACUGGACGCUCUAAGUUGGAAGGAGCAUCUAAAGAUAAUUCCAAGGGAUGAUGAUAGCCACCUUUGGGCAAAACGAAAGGAUCACAGCGACUUAUAGAAAAUAACGGAACGUCAUCCAAAAAUAUUUCGAACUUAUUACGGAGACUAUCCCACAGACAUCCAGAUCAGAAAGAUCAUUAGGGGAUUCAUGAAUAUUAUCUCGAGUUGAGCAAAAUCGCCAAUAGCAACAGUACUCUUUGACGUCUUAGUAAGAUCAGUUUAAAAACAAAUGAGUACUUUUCCAGAAAUUUUAUUUAAAUAAUCAUUUCUCAUAAGUUUCAAAGUUGCUCCCUAAGAUUUUAGACAUAAAAACAUUUGGCUUAUCCAAGUUUCUGAGAAAACCAACAUUUCAUAAUCGCAGUUUGAGCUGUAGGGCUCAGUGGAGGGGAUAGACAGUUGCGCAAUAUUGUUUCAAGUUCUCGAACAAAAGCACCUCGACCUCGACCAAAGUGAUGAGUUUAAGAGUAAGUCAAAGCAAUCAGCCGAAACAUCUAUUUAACAGAAAGAUAAAUUCAUAUUAAUGGACUUGGCAAUGCGGACUAUAUUUAAAACAAAGAAAUCGGUUAUAUUAAUCACGGAAUACAAAGAAAUUGUUCUGAAUGUGGAUAGAAGAAAGGCCUGUACCGCAACCAAAGAAGGGUAGUCAUUAUCCUGAGCCCCUGUACUAUGCAAUCUUUUCAAUUUGUCUUCAAAACAUAAACGUGGAGACCUCACCAAAAAAAAAAA
Molecule: long non-coding RNA, 1006 nt
Organism: Ceratitis capitata (Mediterranean fruit fly)
Lineage: Eukaryota; Metazoa; Arthropoda; Insecta; Diptera; Tephritidae
Exons: 2
Source: RefSeq, a predicted model, not a curated record